CGGGUGUAGUUUAAUGGUAGAACUCCAGCCUUCCAAGCUGAUCACGUGGGUUCGAUUCCCAUCACCCGCUCCAA
This 74-nucleotide transfer RNA is filed under the name methanotrophic bacterial endosymbiont of Bathymodiolus sp. RNAcentral's name for it is "tRNA-Gly". It matches the Rfam family "tRNA". From Rfam's summary of the family: Transfer RNA (tRNA) molecules are approximately 80 nucleotides in length. Their secondary structure includes four short double-helical elements and three loops (D, anti-codon, and T loops). The record is from RNAcentral. Lineage: Bacteria; Pseudomonadati; Pseudomonadota; Gammaproteobacteria.